This 206-nucleotide ribosomal RNA is filed under the name Klebsiella pneumoniae. RNAcentral's name for it is "partial 23S ribosomal RNA". It matches the Rfam family "Bacterial large subunit ribosomal RNA", at positions 2110 to 2319 of the family's 2925-position model. Lineage: Bacteria; Pseudomonadati; Pseudomonadota; Gammaproteobacteria; Enterobacterales; Enterobacteriaceae. The record is from RNAcentral.
CUUGACACUGAACAUUGAGCCUUGAUGUGUAGGAUAGGUGGGAGGCUUUGAAGCGUGGACGCCAGUCUGCGUGGAGCCAACCUUGAAAUACCACCCUUUAAUGUUUGAUGUUCUAACGUUGGCCCCUGACCGGGGUUGCGGACAGUGUCUGGUGGGUAGUUUGACUGGGGCGGUCUCCUCCCAAAGCGUAACGGGGAAGCCAGUCU